UUACAACGUGUUCUGCUUAAAGGCCUGAAACAACAAGAAUCUAGAGUGUAGAUAACAUGUGUCUAGAUAGUGAAUGUCAUUAGCGCUGCAACUAUGUGAUGAAUUGUUUUCCCCCUCCCUUUGAGAAGUUGCAGCGCCCGGUGUAAGAGGGUUUCUAAAAGCAAUAAAAAGCGAA
This is a long non-coding RNA of Xiphophorus hellerii (green swordtail), 175 nucleotides long. RefSeq lists it as uncharacterized. Lineage: Eukaryota; Metazoa; Chordata; Actinopteri; Cyprinodontiformes; Poeciliidae. The transcript is spliced from 5 exons. The record is from RefSeq and is a predicted model, not a curated record.